GGGUUCUUUUUCACUGCCAGAAUAUGUGAUUUUAUUUAGCCAGCUGUCCCCUUGCGCUUUCCUGGCUCCCACCGCUGAACGAGGAAGGCCGCAGUCUCACAAGACGGUAAGAAAACACAAAGCAACUGUCGGUAAGGGAAGAUUGAGCAAACAUUGACCACCAAUCAGAUCGUUAAUGGAGAUGCCUUUACAGGAUGGUGGUGCAGAUGGGACAGAGCUGAGUUAAGAUGCUGCCAAACCUGCUGAACUUUUCCAGCAACAUCUAUUUUUGUUCCUGAUUUACAGAAUCCACAGUUCUUUCUUUUAAAGAGGGGAGGAAAGAGAGAAUAGCCACUAAGCAUCA
Long non-coding RNA from Stegostoma tigrinum, 343 nucleotides. RefSeq lists it as uncharacterized. Lineage: Eukaryota; Metazoa; Chordata; Chondrichthyes; Orectolobiformes; Stegostomatidae. The transcript is spliced from 3 exons. The record is from RefSeq and is a predicted model, not a curated record.